AGAUUAGAGUUUGAUUCAUGGCUCAGGGUGAACGCUGGCGGCGCGCCUAAUGCAUGCAAGUCGAGCGUGCCGUGCGGGCUUCGGCCACAAUGGGAAAGCGGCAGACGGCUGAGUAACGCGUGAGUAACCUGCCCUCUGGUGGGGUAUACCCUCGAGAAAUUGAGGUUAAUCCCGCAUAAGACCCCCUAACCUUGGUUUGGGGUGUGCAAAGGCCCGAUUCUCGGGUCGCCGGAGGAGGGGCUCGCGUCCUAUCAGGUAGUUGGUGGGGUAAUGGCCUACCAAGCCGAUGACGGGUAGCUGGUCUGAGAGGAUGACCAGCCAGAGGGGGACUGAGACACGGCCCCCACUCCUACGGGAGGCAGCAGCAGGGAAUCUUGGGCAAUGGGCGAAAGCCUGACCAAGCGACGUCGCGUGGGGGAAGAAGGCCUUAGGGCUGUAAACCCCUUUUCCAGGGGAAGAGAAAGGACGGUACCUUGGGAAUAAGCCCCGGCUAACUACGUGCCAGCAGCCGCGGUAAUACGUAGGGGGCGAGGAACGUACCCGGAAUCACUGGGCGUAAAGAGCGCGUAGGCGGCUGAGUAAGUCUCUUGUGAAAGCUCCCGGCUCAACUGGGAGAGGUCAAGGGAUACUACUCGGCUGGAGGGCAGUAGAGGAAAGGCGGAAUUCCGUAGCGGUGAAAUGCGUAGAUAUCGGGAGGAACACCAGCGGCGAAAGCGGCCUUCUGGGCUGUGCCUGACGCUGAGGCGCGAGAGCGUGGGGAGCAAACUGGAUUAGAUACCCAGGUAGUCCACGCCCUAAACGAUGGAUGCUAGGUAAUGGGGGGGUAUCGACCCCCUCCCGUGCCGCAGCUAACGCGA
Molecule: ribosomal RNA, 857 nt
Filed under: uncultured bacterium
Lineage: Bacteria
Description: bacterial SSU rRNA
Rfam family: Bacterial small subunit ribosomal RNA
Source: RNAcentral